Molecule: long non-coding RNA, 272 nt
Filed under: Triticum aestivum (bread wheat)
Lineage: Eukaryota; Viridiplantae; Streptophyta; Magnoliopsida; Poales; Poaceae
Description: long non-coding RNA (TAES_LNC001237)
Source: RNAcentral
GCCGCUCUCGCAGGGCCUGGAGACGGCCGGAGGCGUCAUGACCGUGCUGAUCCCGAGGAACACGACAAUCCCCACCAAGAAGGAGCAGGUCUUCUCCACCUACUCUGACAACCAGCCCGGCGUGCUCAUCCAGGUGUAUGAGGGCGAGAGGGCGAGGACCAAGGACAACAACCUGCUCGGCAAGUUCGAGCUCUCUGGGAUCCCACCGGCGCCCAGGGGUGUCCCCCAGAUCACCGUGUGCUUUGACAUUGAUGCCAACGGUAUCCUGAACG